AAUGGCAAUUAUCAUAAUUAGAAGAUUUAUAAUAAUGUAAAUUCCAAGUAAUGGAAUGCUUCCGGUUCUUGGUAUCUUAUCAGCCAUCACUCCGAGGAUAAAUGUCAUGGUCAUUAUGUUUGUGAGACCAACGUUAAGCUGAAAAC
Caenorhabditis elegans is the source of this 146-nucleotide non-coding RNA. The record is from Ensembl. Lineage: Eukaryota; Metazoa; Nematoda; Chromadorea; Rhabditida; Rhabditidae.